AAUGGGCGCAAGCCUGACGGAGCAACGCCGCGUGGGGGACGAAGGCCUUCGGUCGUAAACUCCUGUCAGCGGGAAAGAGGGGCUUUCCGGUGAAGUAGCCGGGGGGUCGUGACGGUACUCGCAGAGGAAGCCACGGCCAACUCCGUGCCAGCAGCCGCGGUAAUACGGAGGUGGCAAGCGUUGUUCGGAAUCACUGGGCGUAAAGGGCGCGUAGGCGGGGUCGGAAGUCGGGUGUGAAAGCCCCGGGCUCAACCCGGGAACGGCGCUCGAGACUCCGGCUCUUGAGUCCCGGAGAGGCGGGUGGAAUUCCUGGUGUAGCGGUGAAAUGUGUAGAGAUCAGGAGGAACACCGGUGGCGCAGGCGGCCCGCUGGACGGAGACUGACGCUGAGGCGCGAAAGCGUGGGGAGCAAACGGGAUUAGAUACCCCGGUAGUCCACGCGGUAAACGAUGGGGGCUAGGUGUGGGGGGUAUCGACCCCCUCCGUGCCGAAGCUAACGCAUUAAGCCCCCCGCCUGGGGAGUACGGCCGCAAGGUUG
This 537-nucleotide ribosomal RNA is filed under the name uncultured bacterium. RNAcentral describes it as "bacterial SSU rRNA". It matches the Rfam family "Bacterial small subunit ribosomal RNA", at positions 370 to 896 of the family's 1533-position model. The record is from RNAcentral.